This 11878-nucleotide long non-coding RNA is filed under the name Arabidopsis lyrata. RNAcentral's name for it is "long non-coding RNA (ALYR_LNC001264)". The record is from RNAcentral. Lineage: Eukaryota; Viridiplantae; Streptophyta; Magnoliopsida; Brassicales; Brassicaceae.
UUAUAUUUUCCUAAUUGUAAUAUGAUUAGCAAAGUUGUGCUAUCUAUAAAUAAGGCUCUAGGGUUGAGUUGUAACCUCAUGAGUUUAGAGAAAGCUUGUUUAGUUUUAAGAGAGUUUCUAAACAAUCAAUAAAGAGAGUUAUACUUUGUUGAAUUCCUUUUGUUCUCAGCUUUCUAGUUUCUCUUUAUUUGGUAUCAGAGCGGUUUAACGAUCGCCUUGUGAAACACGGAUUCAACAAAGCCGAGUGAUGGCAGAUGUUGAUCCCGUGCCGCGCCAAAAGAAGGUAGCGAAGACCGUCAUCCAAUGUCCUAUGCUAAACGAUACAAACUACACGGUAUGGGCUAUGAGGAUGAAGGUCUUGUUACGCAUAAACAAGGUUUGGGACACCAUAGAUCCUGGUUCAACGGAUGGAGAGAAGAAUGAUGUUGCUAUCGGGUUAUUGUUCCAAUCCAUCACGGAAGCCCUAAUCUUGCAAAUUGGUGAAACCGACUCUCCAAAAAGUAUAUGGGAGUCAAUCAAGUCUAAGAAUCAAGGAGCUGAAAGAGUUAAGGAAGCUAGACUUCAAACCCUAAUGGCUGAGUUUGAAAGGAUGGUGAUGAAAGACUCGGAAUCAAUCGAUACCUUUGCGGGAAGGUUAGCGGAGGUGGCGUCUCAAUCCGCAGCCCUAGGUCAUACGAUUGAUAAGCCAAAACUUGUUAAGAAAUUUCUUAACAGCUUACCACAAUCAAAAUAUAUUCAAAUCAUAGCUUCAUUGGAACAAGUCUUGGACUUAAACAAUACUAGCUUUGAAGACAUAGUAGGACGAUUAAAGGUAUACGAGUCACGUAUACGUGGUGUAGAAAGUAACAUUGAUACACAAGGAAACCUAUUAUUUACAAGCACGGAUUCGCGUGGGUACCAAGGAAGCUUUGAGAAUUCCCGAGGAAGAGGGAGAGGUCGUGGUAGAGGAAGAAGUAAUCGGGGUAGAGGCCGUGGAGGUUUCAACACACAAGAUCAACAAAAGGAGAAGAAAGAUCGAUCUAAUGUUGUAUGCUUCCGAUGUGAUAAGGCAGGUCACUUUGCUUCGGUUUGCCCUGAAAGGAAACAAAAACUACAAGAGGCUAACAAGGUAGAGACACAAGAGGCGGAUGCAGCUCUCUACAUGCAUGAGAUAGUAUUCCUUAAUGAAGAAAAUUUGAUUCCUAAGAAGUAUGAAUCGGAUAAAGGAGAAGAAGGAAUAUGGUACUUAGAUAAUGGAGCUAGCAAUCACAUGACCGGAGUAAAGACUUACUUCUCGGAGUUGAAUGAAAACGUCAAAGGCAAGGUAAGAUUUGGAGAUGGAUCGUGUGUUAACAUUGAUGGAAAAGGAUCAAUUCUGUUUCAAGGAAAAACAGGGGAGCAACAACUUUUAACCGAGAUUUACUACAUCCCCGGGUUAAAGAGCAAUAUCCUAAGUCUAGGACAAGCCACCGAGUAUGGUUGUGAUGUUAGGAUGCGUCAAAAUUACCUAACAUUACAUGACCCGAAUGGACGUCUCUUGGUAAAAGUUGAAAGAUCUCCAAAUAGGCUCUACAAGAUCAAUCUCAAAAUUGGUAAGCCUAUUUGUCUACAUUCAAGAAUCGAAGAAGAUACAUGGAGAUGGCACGCAAGACUUGGUCAUGUAAGCUUUAAAACCAUUGAAUCGAUGUCAACAAACGAGAUGGUCUAUGGUCUACCAAAGCUAAGUAGUGAAAAACGAAUUUGCGAGUCAUGUUUGGUGGGAAAACAAACUCGUCAAGCCUUUCCUAAAGCAUCACAAUUUCGGGCUUCAAGUGUGUUGGAGUUACUACAUGCGGAUUUGUGUGGACCAAUCACACCCGCUACUCUUGCUAGGAACAAGUAUAUCUUUGUGAUCAUUGAUGAUUUUUCAAGAUAUAUGUGGACAAUUUUGCUAAGAGAGAAAAGUGAAGCAUUUGAGAAGUUCAAGAUGUUUAAAGCUCUUGUCGAGAAAGAACUUGGAAAGACCAUCUUUACUUUACGGACGGAUAGAGGUGGUGAGUUUACUUCAAGAGACUUUCAAGAAUUUUGUGAUAAGAAUGGGAUAAAGAGACACUUGACGGCUCCUUAUACACCGCAACAAAACGGCGUAGUUGAGAGAAGAAACCGUACAUUGAUGGAGAUGACAAGAAGCAUUUUAAAAGCAAUGCAAGUGCCAAACUACCUUUGGGGAGAAGCCAUACGUCAUUCUACUUACCUAAUCAACCGGAUACCUACGAAAGCUUUGAAAAAUCAGACUCCAUACGAAUGCUUGAAGGACAAGAAACCAAGUGUAGAUCAUCUUAGAGUAUUCGGCUGCCUUGCUCAUGCAAAAAUUGAAUCCGAGCACUUAAAGAAGUUAGAUGAUCGAUCUCAAACUUUGGUGAACCUUGGGAUCGAGCCGGGAUCCAAGGCAUAUAGGCUUUACAAUCCAACAACUAGGAGAAUUGUUGUGAGCCGCGAUGUGGCUUUCAAUGAGAAGUCAUGUUGGAAUUGGAAGGGAGACGACAAAGAAACUACAAGGAGUCCGGGAAUGUUUCAAAUGAUUUGGGGAGAUGUGAUGGAUGAAGGUCAUGGACCGUUUAUCGGGACUCAACAAGAAAAUGUGGAUAAUCCCGAAAACGAAAACCAAGACACACAUCAAGAAGAUCAAGGUGAUGAUAAUGAUGAAGAACCACAAGAAGACACAAAUGAUCAAGCUCAAGAAAAUCAAGAAGUUGUAGAUCCACCGCAACUAAGAAGAUCGGGUCGCCAAGUGAACACGCCUAGAUAUCUUGAAGACUAUGCCCUUCUAGCUGACAUUGAGUGUGAGAAAUUACUCUUGUCAAUGAAUGACGAGCCAACAUGUUAUCAAGAAGCUAAAGAACUUGCGGUAUGGACUAAUGCAUGUCUUGAGGAGAUUGAUUCAAUUGACAAGAACAAGACGUGGUCUCUAGUUACUAAACCUAUUGGAGUUAAGGUAAUUGGUCUUAAAUGGGUGUUCAAGAUAAAAAGGAACGCGGAUGGAUCAAUUAACAAGUACAAAGCUAGGCUAGUCGCUAAGGGAUACGUUCAAAAAUCCGGGAUUGAUUUUGAUGAGGUUUUCGCGCCGGUGGCUCGGCUUGAAACAAUACGGUUACUAAUUGGUCUAGCUGCUUCUUAUGGAUGGGAGAUUCAUCAUCUUGACGUCAAGACGGCAUUCUUACAUGGAGAACUCAAUGAGGAAGUUUACGUGUCUCAACCCGAUGGAUUUGAAAAGAAGGGAGAAGAGCAUAAGGUUUUCAAGCUCCAUAAGGCUUUAUACGGUUUGAGACAAGCUCCACGAGCAUGGAAUACGAAGCUUGAUCAAAUCUUGAAAGGAAUGAAGUUCAAGAAGUGUUCUAAGGAAAGCUCCGUGUAUCGCAAGGAAGAAGGAGAAAAUCUUCUUAUUAUUGCCGUAUAUGUUGACGAUCUCUUUGUCACAGGAACAACAAUGAAGAUCAUCAAAGAUUUCAAGUCCGGAAUGUCUACAAAGUUUGAAAUGUCUGACCUUGGUAAGCUUACUUACUACCUUGGGAUAGAAGUUAACCAAAGCAAAGACGGGAUUGAGAUAAAACAAGAAGCCUAUGCACGAAGGAUUCUCAAGGAAGCGCUCUUAGAUACUUGUAAUCCUGCUCACAUACCUAUGGAGUUUGGUUUAAAGCUAUCUAAGGGACAAGACGAAGAACCCGAAGUUGAUGCUACCUUGUAUCGAAGAAGGAUUGGUUGUCUAAGGUAUCUUUUGCAUACAAGACCCGACCUUGCUUUCUCAGUUGGAGUAACAAGUAGGUAUAUGCAAGACCCAAGAGAAUCACACGGAGGAGCCUUAAAGCAAAUCUUAAGGUAUCUACAAGGAACAACGGCUUACGGUUUAGUUUUCAAGAAAGGAGGAUCAAAGAAGCUACUUGGAUUCAGUGACAGCUCACAUAAUUGUGAUCAAGAUGAUGGAAGAAGUACAACUGGACAUGUCUUCUACUUUGGUGAAUCACCGAUCACAUGGUGCUCUCAAAAACAACCAGUAGUAGCAUUGUCCUCUUGUGAAGCCGAGUUUAUGGCUGCAACGGAAGCUGCGAAGCAAGCGAUAUGGCUCCAAGACUUGUUAAGUGAGAUCACGGGUAAAGAAGGAGAGAAGACUACCAUUCUUAUUGACAACAAGUCAGCCAUUGAGCUUACUAAGAACCCCGUCUUCCAUGGGAGAAGCAAACACAUCCACAAGCGUUACCACUUCAUUCGAGAAUGCGUUGAAGAUAGGCAACUUGAAGUGGAGUUUGUACCCGGAGAAGAGCAACGUGCGGAUAUACUAACAAAGGCCCUAGCAAGAAUCAAGUUUAAGGAAAUGAGGAGUAUGAUUGGAGUUCAAGACCUCUCAAAGACUAGCUUGAAGCUUAAGGGGGUGAAUGUUGGAUAAUCUUCAAAAGGCUUAAGGCCCAAGAUGACUUUAAUGAGGAGGUUAAAGUUUAAGAUAGGUCUAGAAUGUUCUAAUUAGGUUUGGAGUUAUAUUUUCCUAAUUGUAAUAUGAUUAGCAAAGUUGUGCUAUCUAUAAAUAAGGCUCUAGAGUUGAGUUGUAACCUCAUGAGUUUAGAGAAAGCUUGUUUAGUUUUAAGAGAGUUUCUAAACAAUCAAUAAAGAGAGUUAUACUUUGUUGAAUUCCUUUUGUUCUAAGCUUUCUAGUUUCUCUUUAGAGAAAUCAGAAAUCCAGCUCAUCCUCCUCAACACGCAGAAUCUGCUCGACAAUUACACAAAAUGGUCAAUCAACAACGUCUCCUUGUCCGUGCCGGUGACGCCGUAUCUCGGAUCUAUCAAAUACGGUUUAAAAUCGGCGGAGCAUUUGAAAUCGUCGGAAAAGAAGUUCGCAAUGGAUAAUUACGACAUUAUGAAACCGCCGGCGAAUCCCAACACCACGAAAGGUAGCGGGAUUUACAGUUUCACGUCAGGUAAAGUCGUCGACGUGAUUCUCCAGAACGCGAACGUCUUGACGGAGAAAGUCAGUGAGAUUCAUCCAUGGCAUCUUCACGGUCACGAUUUCUGGGUUUUGGGUUACGGUGAUGGGAAAUUUAAACCGGGAAUUGAUGAGAAGACGUUUAAUUUGAAGAAUCCGCCGUUACGGAACACGGUCGUUUUGUAUCCGUAUGGAUGGACGGCGUUAAGGUUUGUAACGGAUAAUCCUGGGGUUUGGUUUUUUCAUUGCCACAUCGAACCGCAUUUGCAUAUGGGUAUGGGCGUGAUUUUUGCCGAGGCAGUAGACCAGAUCGAUAAGACCAUGAUACCGCACAAGGCGUUUGGUUGUGGAUUAACCAGGGAAUGGUUCAUGAAACAUGUUAGCCCUUAAAAUAAACCCGGUGCUAGAUCGACGUUUGGUUGAUAUGUGUGUUUAUUUCACAAAAUUGCAGUAGUCGUCGCCAUUUAAAUUUAAACUCCUAUAAUGUAUCUUGUUAAUCGGAUUAAGUAAAAGCUUAUAAUAAAUGAUAGACCAAGCCUCUUCACCUCCUCUUACUCAACGAUGUUUGAGCGACUUAAAUUGAUAGUGUUUCAGUCACUAUUUUUGGCGUGGAUAUAUUCAUUUCUAAGUGAUAUAUCCACAAAUAUAAAUUUUAGUGGACGUACAAACUUUUCCACCGAUUAGAAGUCGUCAACAAGAAUUACACUGGAUUGGGAGUGGUCAAGACACGAAAAACCAGAGAGAAAAAAAGCACCAUUUCCUUCCGAUGACCGGCUUUGAUUUAGCUUGUUGUUGUCUGGUUCGCAGAAUUUUGGCCUUCGAUUGGAGAGUUGCUGGUGAAUUCGGUUUGUGUAAGGGUGGUCUUUGCGGAAGCGGUCAAGGGUGGUCAAAUCUACUUGUUUCGAGGUUCCUUCAGAGAGGUUGAUGCCGGAUCUGUUAGAUCCACAGUGUGGUUCGUUUAAUAAUUCCAGUCUAUUUGCUCUCCCCAACUUAGAUAUGUGUCUGCUUUUGUGUUUUUCAUCGUCUCUAUUCCGCCGUUGUGGUUUGGUGGUGGUCUCUCGUUAGUCUCCGUCAAGCCUUCUUCUUUCCGCUUGCUCUUUCUCUUCUUGGUUCAGCCUUGGUUUCCUUCUGGUUUGUUCUAGUUGCUUUGAUUUGUCUGAAGUUGAUGCUAGUUUCAAAGUUUACAGAUUUUCCUAUUCAGGGUGCAUUUCGCGAUGAAUGAUAGCUGGCUCGUUCUAAUGGUGUUCUUGCUCGCGAGAAGGGUUUUUUCGAGUGGUUAGGCUUCGCUCCUUGUCUUUGCUUUGCAGAUCGGGUAGGGAUCUGAAAGCGUUUUGAAGAUUUCUAUCUAGGCGUAAAUUGGUGGCGCUUCUGUCGUUAUCGUUGUCGCAUCCGGAAGUGGUUGAGGUUCAUCUUGUCUCUUGCUUGCUGGGUUUUGUAAGUCUUCGGUUCUUGGUUUCGAGAGGUCGGCUCUCAUCUUAGGAGGAAGUGGUUGUUAUUUUUGGGUUUGCUGAUGGCAUCAUUGAUAAAUCUCGUUCUUAGGAUUUCCAGAAGAUGAAGUUGUUUUGUUGCUUUGAGCUAGCGUCUUUCUUAAGAUUAAAGUUUUGUUGCUAUUGUUCUUAGACUUAGGUUGCAAUCUCUUUCGAUUUGGGGUUUUCAUUUUGUGCUUGGUAAUUUAAGUGUUUUUCGAUUUCAAUUUAGUUUCCGGGGAAUUUACGUUUUCCUCCGGCUUAUGUUUUCCGAAACAAUUUUCUUCGUCCGCGGACUUAGAUUCCCUCGUUUGGGCUCUUAACUCCGGGGAUAUUUUUAUCUUCCGCCGGCUUAAAUUUAUAUCUCAAGUUUCAUUUCAUGUUUAUUAUCAUCAAUAAAACCAGAUGAUAAAAAAAAAAAAAAAAGUCGUCAAAAGUAUAUUAACUCGAAAUAAAAGAAUAUUACCAGAGAUACACAACAACACUGGCGUCCUAAUUAAUAUGGAAUGGAGCAAUCCAAAUUCGAAAUUCUUUCUGGGGAACCAUUCCUUUCCAGAUCACAAAGGAAAAAGACUUCAAAAAAGAAAAAUGUAAUACAAUUUCAAUUUUGCUUGUUAAAUAGUAGGUUAAGUUUCACGAGUUAUUCGUGGAGCUUUCGUCAACUUCUCUUUCAUCUCACUCAUUUGCACUUUAUAGAUUGCAUCUGAUAUGAUACUAUAUAUAUAUAUAUAUAUAUCACUGGUAUAAAUAGGCUACAAAUUAUUGCUAUUGAAUUUUGUUAGAACGGAUGUAAAAAACAAAUGAGGCUGGUUUUAUUACUGGAAAUGUAAAUAUGUAAUGACAAACUGUUUCAAUUAUAACAUAGAUUAGGGAGAUAACAAGUGUAUUAUUGAGAAAUUUUAAUUAUCUCUAACAAGUGCAAAACUCAGAAACUACGGCCUAAAUAUUUAGAAACAUCCUUUAACAAGUCUCUUGUAAUACUGUUGCUAGCCGUCGAACAGAUUCAAAGCAUAUUAACAAAGUUUCGUAAACUUUUAAUUCAAAAAUAAAAAGCGUUCUAGAAAAUUAACUAUUAUUAUUUCAACAUUUUCCAUGAGGUGUGGUCGGGAGGAGGAGGAAAGACAAAUGUCAUCGCAGAAAGUUAUAGACGUGAUGCGUGGUUGUAAAGUACUCGAAUAAAAUUAUGUAAGUUUUAGUUUGACACGAUCAAUUAUGUUGACAAAAUAUUAAUAUGAUCGAUUCCAAUUAGAAUAUCAAAAAAUAUAUAUGUAUAUACACAAGAAAGACGUAUUUAAUUUUUGACAUAUACCUAAAAUAUAGGCUUUUAUGUGAUAGUUAACUUUACGUACAUGUUCAAAACAACCAAGAAAGAGCUUGAUAAAGUUGGCAUUACAAAGAUUGUGAACAUGAUCUCACCGUCUAAGACAAAUUCAACCUUGUCACCCUAAAAACAUGUAACAUGAGAUCACUACUAUACCGAAUCUUCUUGAGAUAUUUUGAUUGUUUACACGAUCACAAUUAUGUCCAUUAACUUUGUGACCAUUCUUUUUUUUUUUUUUUUUGCCCAUUCUAAAACCCCAAAAUUAAAGAAAAAUAAACAAAUAUCCUUUUCUUUUUGACCAAAAAACCCAAUCUAUGGUUUUGCCCACUAUCUCUCCCUCUCUCUUCCUAUAUAUAUGUCUAUGAUGAGCAUACAUCAUCAUUCACAUACACAAAGCCAAUGGUUGUGUGGUGGAUAGUGGUGGUGGCUGUCUUGACUCACACGGCGUCUGCCGCCGUGAGAGAGUAUGAUUGGGAGGUUGAGUACAAGUUUUGGCAGCCGGACUGCAAAGAAGGUGCCGUCAUGACCGUCAACGGCCAGUUUCCUGGCCCCACCAUACAAGCCGUCGCCGGAGACACCAUCGUUGUUCAUCUCACGAACAAACUCACCACUGAAGGCCUUGUUAUCCAUUGGCAUGGAAUCCGUCAGGUUUUUUAUCCAGACUAAUCAUAGAUCUACUAAGGCGCCUAGUAUUUUUAUACAUUAGAAAAAUGUUUUAUAACGAUGGAUACACCACUCACCAUAUGAACUCAUUCAGAUCUUAUAUUUUCUUCUGCUUAAUAUGUAUUUUUUUCCUCUAUCCAUGACAUCAAUAAUUGUGUCCAUUGUAUAGAGUAUAUAUUAUUGAUUGGUUUAAAAUUUAAAUUGUCGUUAGAUGAUAAAAGAAGAAAGAAAAUGGGUGAAGUUGCAGAAAUUAUGGGUUUAGCCGCACAUGCCAUGCAUGAUCACUUUGUCUCUUCUCGAUGCAAUAAUAUUUCAUUUACGACGUUUGUUUUUCCCAUAGACUCUAUUUAUUGUCCCUUAAAAUUAUCACAACGGUUACUAGUAAAUUAAUCUUUAUAACUAUAUUUUUUUCUCUCUACAUAAUUCAGUUUAAAUUUAAUUUCUGGCCAAUGACACUACUCUACAAACUUCCCUAAUUUUGCAUUCCUAAUUCAGAUUAACUGCGUUUUGUGAAAAUAGUUGGGAAGUCCAUGGGCAGAUGGAGCAGCAGGAGUUACCCAAUGUGCCAUUAAUCCUGGAGAGACUUUUACCUACAAAUUCACUGUUGAGAAGGUAACUUUUGUAUUUUUGUUUGUCCCUUAUUGUAGCAAAAAUAAUUGAAUUAUAUUUUUGGGGGAAAAUGAAACGGUGCAGCCGGGAACACAUUUCUACCAUGGACACUACGGCAUGCAGAGAUCAGCUGGGCUAUACGGAUCGUUGAUUGUGGACGUGGCUAAAGGACAGAGAGAGAGGUUGAGAUACGAUGGUGAGUUUAAUCUCUUACUAAGUGACUGGUGGCAUGAGCCUAUUCCUUCCCAAGAACUCGGUCUUUCUUCCAAACCUAUGCGCUGGAUCGGUGAAGCUCAGGUUCUUUAUUUUAUUUCUUUACUAUUUUUAUAUACCAAACACUUUCAAUUUUACAUGUUUCAAAUUUUUAAAAGUUAAAAAAAAAAAAAAAUUAAAAGUUGUUUAAAAAUCAAAAACAAAAAGUGGUCCUUUUUCCUUUUCAAUAGUGGAGAUUGAUUAAGAUAAAGAACAAUAGGCACAAGCAAUAAAAAAACAGCUGUCAUAUUUUAGCUUCUUCUUUUUUUGGGCAAGGCAUAAUGGUUUCUAUAUAUCUCUUUCUAAAGCAAUUCUAGCAAGUUCUUCGAAUGUGAAUAGACUGGCCACUGCUGAAGAAAAAACAAAAGAAUAGAGCAUGCCACGAAGUUUUUUUUUUUUUGAAGGGAGAAAUUAUACAUUUUUCUUGGAGUUUUCUAAUAUUUGUAUAAUUUGUUUUUAUGAAAAUUUUUGAAGAGCAUAUUGAUAAAUGGGAGGGGACAAUUCAAUUGUUCAUUGGCGGCGCAAUUUAGCAACACAACAUUACCAAUGUGCACGUUUAAAGAAGGUGAUCAAUGCGCACCACAGAAACUCAACGUGGAGCCUAACAAGACUUACCGAAUCAGACUCGCCAGCACCACCGCUCUUGCCUCCCUCAACUUGGCUGUUCAGGUUUUACUUUUUCUUUUUCAUUUUAAUUUUUCAUUAUUUAUUACUACUAAAAAAACUUUAAAAUAAAAUGAAAAAAGUAUUCAUAUACAAAAAAUCUGUCAAAGAUAAUAUAAUAAUAGACAUUAAAUUUCGUGGAUAUAAUAGGAAACAUAAUUGAAUAAAUAAUAUCUUUAGCUAUACAAACCACAACAUAAAAAAUAUGAUCGAUUUCUAUAUGUAGACAAAAUAAUUUAAUGAUUUUCCACUUAUGGGUCACGAGUCUUUUGGCAAGUUCAUACCCGACGCUUUUUUCUUGGCUGAAAGUCAACAGAGAUGACCAAAUUAGCCUUAGCCAAUAACCACCAACAAAAGUAGUAACAUAGUGGAGAAUUUUCUUCGUUUAGAAACAAAAAUGUGAUAAAUUAAUAACUACAAAAAAAGAGAAAAUUAAAAGAAUGAUGGGCCAUCCUUAAAACUCUUUUGAUAGCAUUAGAGUAUAGUAUGAGCUGGUACUUACUAGACUGGAAAGUGAUGGAGUAGGUCCACAGUGAAAAAUAGUAGAAUUAUACUAUUAUAUACUAUGGUCUAAUUUCAAAUUUAUGUAUGUAUUGAGAUGUGUGCAUCUUGGUUACGUAUGGAUUUAUCUAAAGAGGUCUCAAUCAAAUCUAACAGUAGGUAGAUUGCCUCGGCCCUCAAUGUUGUUACGUUAGACUUUGACACCCAACUCAUCUUCAAUUCAUUUUUUGCUAAAAAGCCUUUUAUUCGGCUAUUCCGUGUAUACCAAUAUUUUAUGUAAGUAAAUGUUUCAAUUUUAUAGUUUUGGUAGCCACAUCUUGGAGUUUUUAAAAUAACAACAUAAAUAAAGAAAAACCAUAGAAUUCAAAGAAAAAUUUAUCAUUUAUAAUAUCAUUUUAAAAUUUUAUUUUCAUCAUCUUAAAAAUUUUGAUUUUUCUUCACAUGUGUUGUUGUAUCCCUUUUUAUUUUAUGAGAUAAAAUUAAUAUUAAAACAUCAUAGCAUGUAGAUUAGUUGUUUGUAUUAGUGCCGACAGUAUAACCCAUUCGGUUUCAAAAACGUAUAAUGUGUGUUUUCCACAAAUACAAAAACUAAUAAAUUGCAAAUUCAUGAAGGAAAGAAAACAAUUUUCUUAUGUUGUGUUAUAUGGGCCCAUUUACAAGGCCUAAUUCUAUAGUAUCGGUCCAAUAAUACCAAAUAAGUAAAAGUUUUGAUCACGCGUGUGCUGCUGUUUACAUAUGCAGGGACACAAGCUAGUGGUGGUAGAAGCCGACGGCAACUACAUUACGCCGUUCAUCACCGACGAUAUCGACAUAUACUCCGGCGAGAGCUAUUCUGUUCUUCUCACCACCGACCAAGACCCAUCACAAAACUACUACAUCUCCGUCGGCGUCCGUGGUCGGAAACCAAACACAACACAAGCACUCACCAUUCUAAAUUACGUAACUGCCCCUGCUUCAAAACUCCCUUCUUCUCCUCCGCCGGUGACUCCACGGUGGGACGAUUUCGAACGUAGCAAAAAUUUCUCCAAGAAGAUCUUCUCAGCGAUGGGAUCUCCAUCGCCACCGAAGAAAUACAGAAAACGGUUGAUUCUUCUCAACACACAGAAUCUAAUCGACGGAUACACCAAAUGGGCUAUUAACAAUGUCUCUCUAGUGACUCCGGCAACGCCAUAUCUCGGUUCGGUUAAAUACAAUUUGAAACUCGGAUUUAACCGGAAAUCGCCGCCGAGAAGUUACCGUAUGGAUUAUGACAUUAUGAAUCCACCGCCGUUUCCUAACACCACUACAGGUAACGGGAUUUAUGUUUUCCCGUUUAAUGUAACGGUCGACGUGAUUAUCCAAAACGCAAACGUUUUAAAAGGUGUAGUUAGUGAGAUUCAUCCAUGGCAUCUUCACGGUCACGAUUUCUGGGUUUUGGGUUACGGUGACGGAAAAUUUAAACCGGGAAUUGAUGAGAAGACGUAUAAUUUGAAG